AAUGUUAAGAGCAGUGCAGAAGUUUCAGAGGGAAGUUUAAAGAUUCUAUCAGGGCCAUUUGUUAUUUUGAAUUAAGGUUCUGUGGUUCUGGCUAGCUGGGGGCUGAAGAACCAACUGUGGUUAGCAAGAUACCAGAAUUACCAAAGAGGAACUUUGCUUUAUUGGGAUACUUGAUCGUAGUCUGCUGGAGCAAAGAAAUUAGUAGUGAUUAAGAGGAGACCAGCAUCACCGAGGUGAAAUCUUCUGGGAAGUGUUUCCUGAGAGCACAGAGAAGCUGUGUUCCAGAGGUAGUCAAGGUUGUACCUCACGUUUUGGCAACUGGACUUGGUUAUUGGUAAGCGUCACCCAGGUGGUGCUGGUUUUGAAGGCAUGAAGGGGGUCAUGGAGAGCAGCUGAGGCUGGGCACCGUGAGAGGCCGUUGGUGAAAGUGCAGCCCGGCUGCAGCAGAGGGCGCAGCCUCCGUGGCAGUUGAAGGCCCAGGACUGAAGGGGUCGUGCAGGGAAGCUGAGCCUGGCAUUGUGAGGAGAGCCAUUGAGAGGCCGUUGGUGAAAGUGCAGCCCGGCUGCAGCAGAAGACCCCGGCAUUUUGGGGACACCAGUACCACAGGAUGACCACCAAGAACAGCAGCAGCAGCGGAACCAGCCAGAUCCUAGAAGACGCGCUGUCUGUGCUACCCAGGGCAGAGCUGGAGAAGAGGCCAAGCCUUAAGGAGGAGCCCAGACGACUAAGCUGUGUCAAGACCUGCUCCUGGUGGCCUUUAUUUCCCACCUGUGACAGAUGGAAAUGUGGGCUCUCAGGGUUCCUGUGCACAGUGGCAUCCUGUCCAUCCUGCCAGUGACAGCGCACUUCCUUAGAGACAGUUCCUGCCUUCUGGCAGGGGCCCUACAACCUUGGAGUUGUUUUCAUUUUCUCCUAUGCUUGACAUCAAGAGAAACUCAGCAGGCACAAGAGCGUGGUAGAGUAGCUGAGACAAGCUCUUAUGACGUCACGUUUGACACGGAAGGGCUGUCGGACGGAUCUUUCCUCACACUGAGGUCCCACUGAGCAUCAGUGACACUCAUGUCCUCUGCCUUCUGGAUGCCUACUUCUCUUACGAGACCUUGAUGGGAGCCAGCCAUUCAUUCCGCUGAGCCUGAGCGAGGACAGAUACUAUUGGAACAGGCCAGGGCUGAGAAAUGGCCACCUGGGAGAGGGCUUCCAAGUUUUGGGGGAUCUCCGUGCAGGUCCCCUAUGGAAGCCUGGGGAUCUUACCUCUCUGCAUCUCUUGCUUUGGAACGGUAACCUUCAGAGAUCAGGAAGAGCCUGAGAUUCAGACAACUCAAUAAAGUCACAAUAAAACA
Long non-coding RNA from Mesocricetus auratus (golden hamster), 1340 nucleotides. RefSeq lists it as uncharacterized. The transcript is spliced from 3 exons. The record is from RefSeq and is a predicted model, not a curated record. Lineage: Eukaryota; Metazoa; Chordata; Mammalia; Rodentia; Cricetidae.